This is a non-coding RNA of Tinamus guttatus (white-throated tinamou), 388 nucleotides long. Lineage: Eukaryota; Metazoa; Chordata; Aves; Tinamiformes; Tinamidae. The record is from RefSeq and is a predicted model, not a curated record.
CCGACGAUCAUAGCUGAUAAUGCCGGCUACGACAGCGCAGAUUUGGUUGCACAGCUCAGAGCUGCUCACAGUGAAGGGAAAACGACUUACGGACUGGAUAUGAAAGAGGGUGUCAUUGGAGACAUGGCAGUCUUGGGAGUUACAGAAAGUUUCCAAGUGAAGAGGCAGGUUUUGCUGAGUGCAGCUGAAGCAGCAGAAAUGAUUCUUCGUGUGGAUGACAUUAUUAAAGCGGCACCAAGAAAACGUGUGCCAGACCAUCGCCCGUGUUAAACUCUUCAGUGCCUGAUGACAUGUGGACCAGAUUUCACCUAGUAUUUUUUUUUUUUUUAAUGAUAUAGUUCUUGCGAGGCUGUGAUACAGAAGCUUAAGAUGAGCAUCUCCAUCAAUA